RNAcentral lists this ribosomal RNA (512 nucleotides) under uncultured bacterium. Its description in RNAcentral is "partial 16S ribosomal RNA". It matches the Rfam family "Bacterial small subunit ribosomal RNA", at positions 28 to 523 of the family's 1533-position model. The record is from RNAcentral.
GACGAACGCUGGUGGCGUGCCUAAUACAUGCAAGUCGAGCGGACCAAUAGAAGCUUGCUUCUGUUGGUUAGCGGCGGACGGGUGAGUAACACGUGGGCAACCUGCCUGUAAGACUGGGAUAACUUCGGGAAACCGGAGCUAAUACCGGAUAAUUCAUCCCCUCGCAUGAGGGGAUGCUGAAAGUCGGUUUACGCUGCCACUUACAGAUUGGCCCGCGGCGCAUUAGCUAGUUGGUGAGGUAAUGGCUCACCAAGGCGACGAUGCGUAGCCGACCUGAGAGGAUGAUCGGCCACACUGGGACUGAGACACGGCCAAGACUCCUACGGGAGGCAGCAGUAGGGAAUCUUCCACAAUGGACGAAAGUCUGAUGGAGCAACGCCGCGUGAGCGAUGAAGGCCUUCGGGUCGUAAAGCUCUGUUGUUAGGGAAGAACAAGUAUCGGAGUAACUGCCGGUACCUUGACGGUACCUAACCAGAAAGCCACGGCUAACUACGUGCCAGCCGCCGCCGUAA